UACGUAGGGGGCCAGCGUUGCUCGGAAUUACUGGGCGUAAAGGGUUCGUAGGCGGUGCGGAAAGUUGGGAGUGAAAUCUCUGGGCUUAACCCAGAGGCUGCUUUCAAAACUUCCGUGCUCGAGUGCGAGAGAGGUCAGUGGAAUUGCAGGUGUAGCGGUGAAAUGCGUAGAUAUCUGCAGGAACACCCGUGGCGAAGGCGGCUGACUGGAUCGCAACUGACGCUGAGGAACGAAAGCUAGGGGAGCAAACAGG
This 253-nucleotide ribosomal RNA is filed under the name uncultured bacterium. Its description in RNAcentral is "partial 16S ribosomal RNA". It matches the Rfam family "Bacterial small subunit ribosomal RNA", at positions 524 to 776 of the family's 1533-position model. The record is from RNAcentral.